AUUGAACGCUGGCGGCAGGCCUAACACAUGCAAGUCGAGCGGAUGAAGGGAGCUUGCUCCUGGAUUCAGCGGCGGACGGGUGAGUAAUGCCUAGGAAUCUGCCUGGCAGUGGGGGAUAACGUCCUGAAACGGGCGCUAAUACCGCAUACGUCCUGAGGGAGAAAGUGGGGGAUCUUCGGACCUCACGCUAUCAGAUGAGCCUAGGUCGGAUUAGCUAGUUGGUGGGGUAAAGGCCUACCAAGGCAACGAUCCGUAACUGGUCUGAGAGGAUGAUCAGUCACACUGGAACUGAGACACGGUCCAGACUCCUACGGGAGGCAGCAGUGGGGAAUAUGGGACAAUGGGCGAAAGCCUGAUCCAGCCAUGCCGCGUGUGUGAAGAAGGUCUUCGGAUUGUAAAGCACUUUAAGUUGGGAGGAAGGGCAGUAAGUUAAUACCUUGCUGUUUUGACGUUACCAACAGAAUAAGCACCGGCUAACUUCGUG
This 484-nucleotide ribosomal RNA is filed under the name uncultured bacterium. RNAcentral describes it as "partial 16S ribosomal RNA". It matches the Rfam family "Bacterial small subunit ribosomal RNA", at positions 30 to 507 of the family's 1533-position model. The record is from RNAcentral.